AAAAUAAUGGUCACCCGAGGUGUAACAGCCACUCCGCUUCGCAUCAGCACCUCGGGUGUACAUUAUCAUCU
This 71-nucleotide microRNA precursor is filed under the name Danio rerio (zebrafish). RNAcentral describes it as "Dre-Novel-8_pre stem-loop". Lineage: Eukaryota; Metazoa; Chordata; Actinopteri; Cypriniformes; Danionidae. The record is from RNAcentral.